GUUACACGGGAGGCCGGCAUUCUGCCCAGGUCUCCAUCAAGGAGGCUCAGUGCCGUCUCCAGGACGAGGCUGCAGAAACAGGAGAAAUACAUUUAAAAAACAAGGACAACAAAAAACCUGUGCCUAGGAGCAGAGAAUGUGACUUCUAUGAGGUAGAACCAGGCUGCACAAAGUGAAAAGGGAAGUUUGCUGCUAUCAAGAGUGGGAGCCUGACUCAGCUAAACCC
Molecule: long non-coding RNA, 226 nt
Organism: Myotis myotis
Lineage: Eukaryota; Metazoa; Chordata; Mammalia; Chiroptera; Vespertilionidae
Exons: 3
Source: RefSeq, a predicted model, not a curated record